This 266-nucleotide ribosomal RNA is filed under the name uncultured archaeon. RNAcentral describes it as "partial 16S ribosomal RNA". It matches the Rfam family "Archaeal small subunit ribosomal RNA", at positions 719 to 982 of the family's 1478-position model. The record is from RNAcentral.
ACACGACUACAUUAGAUACCCGUGUAGUCCCAGCCCUAAACGAUGCGCGUUAGGUGUAUCGGUGACCACGAGUCACCGAGGUGCCGAAGGGAAACCGUGAAACGUGCCGCCUGGGAAGUACGGUCGCAAAGGCUGAAACUUAAAGGAAUUGGCGGGGGAGCACAACAACGGGUGGAGCUUGCGGUUUAAUUGGAUUCAACGCCGGAAAUCUUACCGGGACCGACAGCAACAUGAAGGCCAAGCUGAAGACUUUGCCGGAUUAGCUG